This 330-nucleotide ribosomal RNA is filed under the name uncultured Bacteroidota bacterium. RNAcentral describes it as "bacterial SSU rRNA". It matches the Rfam family "Bacterial small subunit ribosomal RNA", at positions 28 to 351 of the family's 1533-position model. The record is from RNAcentral. Lineage: Bacteria; Pseudomonadati; Bacteroidota.
GAUGAACGCUGGCGGCAGGCUUAAUACAUGCAAGUCGAACGGUAACAGUACUAGCAAUAGUAGCUGACGAGUGGCGCACGGGUGCGUAACGCGUAUGCAACCUACCCAUAAUUGGAACAUAACGUUGAGAAAUUAACGCUAAUAUUCCAUGUGAAUAUGAAUUGGCAUUCUUUUUUAUAUUUAAAGAUUUAUUGAUUAUGGAUGGGCAUGCGUAUCAUUAGCUAGUUGGUGAGGUAACGGCUCACCAAGGCGACGAUGAUUAGGGGGUUCUGAGAGGACUUUCCCCCCACACUGGAACUGAGACACGGUCCAGACUCCUACGGGUGGCAG